RNAcentral lists this ribosomal RNA (427 nucleotides) under uncultured bacterium. RNAcentral describes it as "partial 16S ribosomal RNA". It matches the Rfam family "Bacterial small subunit ribosomal RNA", at positions 355 to 774 of the family's 1533-position model. The record is from RNAcentral.
UGGGGAAUAUUGCACAAUGGGCGCAAGCCUGAUGCAGCCAUGCCGCGUGUAUGAAGAAGGCCUUCGGGUUGUAAAGUACUUUCAGCGGGGAGGAAGGUGUUGAGGUUAAUAACCUCAGCAAUUGACGUUACCCGCAGAAGAAGCACCGGCUAACUCCGUGCCAGCAGCCGCGGUAAUACGGAGGGUGCAAGCGGUAAUCGGAAUUACUGGGCGUAAAGCGCACGCAGGCGGUCUGUCAAGUCGGAUGUGAAAUCCCCGGGCUCAACCUGGGAAUUGCAUCCGAAACUGGCAGGCUUGAGUCUUGUAGAGGGGGGUAGAAUUCCAGGUGUAGCGGUGAAAUGCGUAGAGAUCUGGAGGAAUACCGGUGGCGAAGGCGGCCCCCUGGACAAAGACUGACGCUCAGGUGCGAAAGCGUGGGGAGCAAACA